GACGAACGCUGGCGGCGUGCUUAACACAUGCCAGUGGAGCGACGAACCAGGGCUUGCCCUGGGGCAGAGCCGCGAACGGGUGAGUAACACGUGGGUAACGUGCCCCGAUGACUGGGACAACCCGGGGAAACCCGGGCUAAUACCGGAUGUGCCCCCUCACAUCAGUGAGGUGUGUAAAGGAAGCUUCGGCCUCCGCAUCGGGAUCGGCCCGCGGCCCAUUAGCUUGUUGGUGAGGUAACGGCUCACCAAGGCUGCGAUGGGUAGCUGGUCUGAGAGGACGAUCAGCCACACUGGGACUGAGACACGGCCCAGACUCCUACGGGAGGCAGCAGUGGGGAAUCUUGCGCAAUGCGCGAAAGCGUGACGCAGCAACGCCGCGUGGGGGAAGACGGCCUUCGGGUUGUAAACCCCUUUCAGUUGGGACGAAGGUCGGGCGGUUAACAGCCGUUCCGGCUGACGGUACCUUCACAAGAAGCCCCGGCUAACUACGUG
This 492-nucleotide ribosomal RNA is filed under the name uncultured bacterium. Its description in RNAcentral is "partial 16S ribosomal RNA". It matches the Rfam family "Bacterial small subunit ribosomal RNA", at positions 28 to 507 of the family's 1533-position model. The record is from RNAcentral.